Molecule: non-coding RNA, 485 nt
Organism: Biomphalaria pfeifferi
Lineage: Eukaryota; Metazoa; Mollusca; Gastropoda; Planorbidae
Source: the annotation of a GenBank genome assembly
AUUUGAUCCAUUUUAAUAUGAAUUCAUCAUUUACAAAUUAUUUGUUUUAUAUAUUUAUUGCAUUCAAGUUGUUAUUAUAUGAAUGUAUUGUUUUUCAGUACUUUAAUACAUUACUUGUAAUUCCCUGUUGUUGUUUUUUAUUUUAUAAAAGUUUUAAAGAAAUUAAUGCACAGGUUUAAUUUAAUGACAUUUUAAAAUAAUGGUAUAAUUAGUAUCAGGAGUUUUUCUUAAGAUUUAAAUUGAAUAUUUAGUAUCCUUGGUAGUACCACUAAGACAUUUUCUUCAAUUCUGAGGAUUUAAGAUGAGUGCAGCAUUUCACUAGCACUAUUUGUUGUCUUUUACUCAAUAUAAACCUGAUCAUAACUUGCAAUUACAAGUAUUUAGAGCUCAUUGUCAUAUUUAAACACAAAUAUUUGUAUUGACAUAUUGUUAUAUAAAAACAUGUAUAUUUAUUUAUAAAUAAAUGUGUAUACAAAUAAUGACAU